CUGGCUGCUUUUUAAUGUCUCAGGAGCUAAAAAAUACUCUCCCGCUGUGCUACUAAGCAUGAAAAAUUGUCAGAAUCUCUCAAGUGUUUCCUUGUAUGUCAUUUUAUUUUCACAUGCAUUUAGAUUUAAUUAAUUUUGAAAGGAACACAAAGAAAAGAUGUGAUAAAACUGAUGUGGAUAUCCAGAUCCAGUAAAUUGCGCCCUGAAUAACACUAUCUCCUUUAAAAAGCCAUUCAAAUGUAAAGUUCAGAGUCCUACAGGCUAAUUAGUCUCCUUAAGAAGCACUAACUAUUCAGAGGUGUAGGCUAAUGUGAGGGUGAUAUUUAAACCCCCCUAGUUUCUCAGUGAGAGGUCUGCAGUCGCACAUGGACUCCCAGGAGAUUUAAAAAGGAAAAAGGUGAAAUUUUGAAGUCACUGGCAUCACAGCUGGGCAGCAGGUCCAGUUUGAGAGAUGAUUCAACAGAGAUUUGUUUUUGGAAAAGGGGGAGCUACACUGUGACGCACACACACUUAAAGAGAUUUAUCAGGGCAAGCAUACCGUGUGCUAGUCUGCACUGAUGGACUCUCUGAUUCACACGGAGACACCAAAAGACCCCAAUCAUACUGAACCAAAACACAGCUGCUGCUGCCUCCGAUGUAAGCCGGCAUGUGUCUGAAUCACUGUGCUGCUACUGAUUGAAAGCCAUAAUGUUCUAAUUUAGCAUUUCACAUGAGAUUACAAGUGGCUGAAUGGACGAGACGCUUACUUCUUAAGUCUUAUUUAUUUUGAACUUUGAAGUAAUAAAUGAUUAAAUAAAGAAGUUUAAAAAAAACACCUUUUGUUUUUAUACAUGUAUAAACAUAUAUAUGUAUAUAUAUAUAUGCUUGGUAUUUUUAGUGACCUAUCUAUGCAGCAAACACUGCUGUAGAUUAUUAAUGAGGACUUUUGUUAAAAUAACUAAGAAGAUAAUAUUUUUAUCUCCCAUCUCAUAUUUUAAAGAUUGUCAUUUGAUUACUAAUAUUUCAUCUGUAAUUAAGAUAUAUCCAACUGUCCUGAUUACAAACUGCCAUGAAGCUCAUUUGUUUCUAAUUGCUAAAAAUAAUAGAUUACAGCUUACAUGUAGACGUAAAAUCAUAUUUGCAUUUAUAUUACUUUACAUAAAGAAACGCAUUUUGGUAUGAAAAUGAGCUUUUCUACUAUUUCUUAUUCUGUUUUCUUAACUCAUCACUGUCCAACAGUGAGCCACACAAUAAACCUUAAAAGGUUUUGAUGAGAUUUGAUUCAGUGUUAUAUUUUGGCUUUUAAUGCGACUAUAAGAAUGCUUAUGUAUUCAAGCAGCCAGGUCUGCAUCUAUGAUUAUGACCAUUCAUAAUACACUCCUGGAGUCCAUCCCUCUCUCCCAGUUCCCAUCUUCAUUCAUCCCU
Long non-coding RNA from Oreochromis niloticus (Nile tilapia), 1404 nucleotides. RefSeq lists it as uncharacterized. Lineage: Eukaryota; Metazoa; Chordata; Actinopteri; Cichliformes; Cichlidae. The record is from RefSeq and is a predicted model, not a curated record. The transcript is spliced from 3 exons.